This 1003-nucleotide ribosomal RNA is filed under the name uncultured bacterium. RNAcentral's name for it is "bacterial SSU rRNA". It matches the Rfam family "Bacterial small subunit ribosomal RNA", at positions 356 to 1376 of the family's 1533-position model. The record is from RNAcentral.
CGGGAAUAUUGCGCAAUGGAGGAAACUCUGACGCAGUGACGCCGCGUGCAGGAAGAAGGUUUUCGGAUUGUAAACUGCUUUAGACAGGGAAGAAAAAAGACAGUACCUGUAGAAUAAGCUCCGGCUAACUACGUGCCAGCAGCCGCGGUAAUACGUAGGGAGCGAGCGUUAUCCGGAUUUAUUGGGUGUAAAGGGUGCGUAGACGGGAAAUUAAGUUAGUUGUGAAAUCCCACGGCUCAACUGUGGAACUGCAACUAAAACUGAUUUUCUUGAGUACUGGAGAGGAAAGUGGAAUUCCUAGUGUAGCGGUGAAAUGCGUAGAUAUUAGGAGGAACACCAGUGGCGAAGGCGACUUUCUGGACAGAAACUGACGUUGAGGCACGAAAGUGUGGGGAGCAAACAGGAUUAGAUACCCUGGUAGUCCACACCGUAAACGAUGGAUACUAGGUGUAGGGUGUGAUAAACACUCUGUGCCGUCGCAAACGCAAUAAGUAUCCCACCUGGGGAGUACGGCCGCAAGGUUGAAACUCAAAGGAAUUGACGGGGGCCCGCACAAGCAGUGGGGUAUGUGGUUUAAUUCGAAGCAACGCGAAGAACCUUACCAGGGCUUGACAUAAACAGGAAUAUAUAAGAGAUUAUAUAGCUCUUCGGAGUCUGUUUACAGGUGGUGCAUGGUUGUCGUCAGCUCGUGUCGUGAGAUGUUAGGUUAAGUCCUGCAACGAGCGCAACCCCUAUUCUUAGUUGCCAGCAUGUAAAGAUGGGAACUCUAGGAAGACUGCCGGUGAUAAAUCGGAGGAAGGUGGGGACGACGUCAAAUCAUCAUGCCCUUUAUGUCCUGGGCUACACACGUACUACAAUGGCUAUCACAGAGAGAAGCGAAGCAGUGAUGUGGAGCAAAACUCAAAAAAGUAGUCUCAGUUCGGAUUGAAGGCUGAAAUUCGCCUUCAUGAAGCCGGAAUUGCUAGUAAUGGCAGGUCAGCAUACUGCCGUGAAUACGUUCCCG